UUGAAUCACACAGUUGGCAAGAAACAGAUUGGCCUCCUCGUUUGCCCGACCUGAAUUCUCUAAACUCUCAAUCCUUUAGUGCUUUUAUUUUAACAAACGUACACACUUAUACCUGACCUCAAGGAAUGAUCUAGUUAAAAUAUAGCAGUACUGUGACUUUCUAUAAGUAUUACGUAUUAAUUGAAAGAAUCGGCAACUAUGGUGCUUGUAGCAUGUUGUAGUGGACCAAAGAUCAUGAAACAAUAUCGAAACGGGAGGGAACAUGAUCUGUACGUCAUCAAGACGUAAUGCGACGUCAUCUUGCAGCCGAGAAGCGACUACCAAAGCCAACCGCGAAUUAUUGUGUUAAUAUGUUCAAGCGUUAAGAUCUCAGGAAUUUAACAUUGUAUAUCUAAUUGAAUAAAUAUUAUGUUACUUUAA
This is a long non-coding RNA of Dendroctonus ponderosae (mountain pine beetle), 420 nucleotides long. RefSeq lists it as uncharacterized. The transcript has 2 exons. The record is from RefSeq and is a predicted model, not a curated record. Lineage: Eukaryota; Metazoa; Arthropoda; Insecta; Coleoptera; Curculionidae.